RNAcentral lists this transfer RNA (68 nucleotides) under Rattus norvegicus (Norway rat). It matches the Rfam family "tRNA". From Rfam's summary of the family: Transfer RNA (tRNA) molecules are approximately 80 nucleotides in length. Lineage: Eukaryota; Metazoa; Chordata; Mammalia; Rodentia; Muridae. The record is from Rfam by way of RNAcentral.
GGGGAUUUGGCUCAGUGGUAGAGCGCUUGCCUAGCAAGCGCAAGGCCCUGGGUUCGAUCCCCAGCUCG